CACCAUAUCAUCCAUUGAUGAAUCCUCGACCACUUUCUUUCUUAUUUUCCAUAUAACUUUAACUAGGGGAAAAUAUUUUUAAAAAAAAUAAUUUUUAAGGUUUGAUUUUACUAUAAAAAAAAGUAAAAAAAAAAUAAAUAUAAUUAAAAUUAGUAAAAAAAUUAUAUAAUUUUAAAUUAUUUAGUGUUUAUGUAGAAGACUUAAAAAAGUGAAAUAAGUUUGAUGUAGAAUAUAAAAAUAUAUUUUCCCUC
This 251-nucleotide long non-coding RNA is filed under the name Vitis vinifera (wine grape). Its description in RNAcentral is "long non-coding RNA (VVIN_LNC007908)". Lineage: Eukaryota; Viridiplantae; Streptophyta; Magnoliopsida; Vitales; Vitaceae. The record is from RNAcentral.